UACGUAGGGUGCGAGCGUUGUCCGGAAUUAUUGGGCGUAAAGAGCUCGUAGGCGGUUUGUUGCGUCUAUCGUGAAAACCUGCAGCUUAACUGUGGGCUUGCGGUGGAUACGGGCAGACUUGAGUUCGGUAGGGGAGACUGGAAUUCCUGGUGUAGCGGUGAAAUGCGCAGAUAUCAGGAGGAACACCGGUGGCGAAGGCGGGUCUCUGGGCAACAACUGACGCUGAGGAGCGAAAGCGUGGGGAGCGAACAGG
Molecule: ribosomal RNA, 253 nt
Filed under: uncultured bacterium
Lineage: Bacteria
Description: partial 16S ribosomal RNA
Rfam family: Bacterial small subunit ribosomal RNA
Source: RNAcentral